Molecule: RNase P RNA, 380 nt
Filed under: Chloroflexota bacterium
Lineage: Bacteria; Bacillati; Chloroflexota
Description: Chloroflexi bacterium (anaerobic digester metagenome) RNase P RNA component class A
Rfam family: Bacterial RNase P class A
About the family: Ribonuclease P (RNase P) is a ubiquitous endoribonuclease, found in archaea, bacteria and eukarya as well as chloroplasts and mitochondria.
Source: RNAcentral
CAAGUAGGCCAGGCGAUCGCGGGCCGGUGCGCCGGUUCGAGGAAAGUCCGAGCUCCACAGAGCACAGUGCUGGGUAAUACCCAGGCGGGGCGACCCGACGGAAAGUGCCACAGAAAACAACCGCCAGAGGUCCUGCCUCUGGUCAGGGUGAAAAGGUGGUGUAAGAGACCACCGGCAGACGCGGCGACGCGCCUGGCCAGGCAAACCCCACUGGGAGCAAGGCCAAGCAUGGAGGGCCAGCCGAAAGGCUGGCAGGGCUGCUCGCCCCCUUCUCCGGGUAGGCCGCUAGAGGUUGCGGGCAACCGCAGCCCCAGAGAGAUGGUCGCCACCCGCCGACGGGUCGGCGGGGACAGAACUCGGCUUAUCGGCUUGCUUGGGCC